UACGAAGGGGGCUAGCGUUGCUCGGAAUGACUGGGCGUAAAGGGCGCGUAGGCGGAUGGCACAGUCAGAUGUGAAAUUCCCGGGCUUAACCUGGGGGCUGCAUUGAUACGUGUUGUCUUGAGUUCGGAAGAGGGUCGUGGAAGUUCCCAGUGUCAGAGGUGAAAGUUCGAUAGAUAUUGGGAAGAACACCGGUGGCGAAGGCGGCGACCUGGUCCGACACUGACGCUGAGGCGCGAAAGCGUGGGGAGCAAACAGG
Molecule: ribosomal RNA, 256 nt
Filed under: uncultured bacterium
Lineage: Bacteria
Description: partial 16S ribosomal RNA
Rfam family: Bacterial small subunit ribosomal RNA
Source: RNAcentral